UACGGAGGGUGCAAACGUUGCUCGGAAUCAUUGGGCGUAAAGCGCACGUAGGCGGCCUUUUAAGUCGGAUGUGAAAGCCCCGGGCUCAACCCGGGAAGUGCAUACGAAACUGGCAGGCUUGAAUAUGGAAGAGGGUCGCGGAAUUCCCGGUGUAGAGGUGAAAUUCGUAGAUAUCGGGAGGAACACCAGUGGCGAAGGCGGCGACCUGGGCCAAUAUUGACGCUGAGGUGCGAAAGCGUGGGGAGCAAACAGG
This 253-nucleotide ribosomal RNA is filed under the name uncultured bacterium. RNAcentral describes it as "partial 16S ribosomal RNA". It matches the Rfam family "Bacterial small subunit ribosomal RNA", at positions 524 to 776 of the family's 1533-position model. The record is from RNAcentral.